RNAcentral lists this ribosomal RNA (618 nucleotides) under Caenocholax sp. 1 DPM-2010. RNAcentral describes it as "partial 18S small subunit ribosomal RNA". The record is from RNAcentral. Lineage: Eukaryota; Metazoa; Arthropoda; Insecta; Strepsiptera; Myrmecolacidae.
AAUUUGUAUCUCGUACUGUUAGACGCUCGCGAUUUUAUUCGUGCAGUUGUUUGACAUUUUUCAUUGUACGAGAUAUCAAUGCUGGUGGAUAUUUAGGAUUUGCGUACGUGCGAUCGCUUCGCGCGUUCGUACGUUUGUCGAAUUCGAUGUUCGAUACGAUGGAUUUUUUACAAAUUUCGCAAACGGUCAAUCGGUAAAACAAUCGAUGACGAACACGAACAAGAACAGCAGUGUUCUGUUUCGUUUCGAAAAUCGAUUCGAUUUUCCGUUGUGAAUUUUUUCAAUUCAAUCGUAUUCCGGACGCGUGCGAGUAGUUGCACUUUUCGAAAGUACUACUGCUGUCUGUUUGCGUUCGGACCAGCGAAAUUACUUUGAACAAAUUAGGGUGCUUAAAGCAGGCAAAUUUUUAAUGCCUUGAAUAUAAACAGCAUGGAAUAAUAGAAAAUGAUCUCGAUACUGUUUUCGUAAUUUGUUGUUUGCUGCUGCGUACGUUACAACGAUUUAUGUCGUAGUUUGUGCGUACCUCGAGCAGCGAAAUAAAAUUGGCUUAAAGUGAAUGAAAUGUAUGCAAAUUCAUAAAAGACGUAACAAUACAACACUAUCGAUAAAAUACAACGU